GAUGAACGCUGGCGGCGUGCCUAAUACAUGCAAGUCGAGCGAACAGAUGAGGAGCUUGCUCCUCUGACGUUAGCGGCGGACGGGUGAGUAACACGUGGAUAACCUACCUAUAAGACUGGGAUAACUUCGGGAAACCGGAGCUAAUACCGGAUAAUAUAUUGAACCGCAUGGUUCAAUAGUGAAAGACGGUUUUGCUGUCACUUAUAGAUGGAUCCGCGCCGCAUUAGCUAGUUGGUAAGGUAACGGCUUACCAAGGCAACGAUGCGUAGCCGACCUGAGAGGGUGAUCGGCCACACUGGAACUGAGACGCGGUCCAGACUCCUACGGGAGGCAGCAGUAGGGAAUCUUCCGCAAUGGGCGAAAGCCUGACGGAGCAACGCCGCGUGAGUGAUGAAGGUCUUCGGAUCGUAAAACUCUGUUAUUAGGGAAGAACAAAUGUGUAAGUAACUAUGCACGUCUUGACGGUACCUAAUCAGAAAGCCACGGCUAACUACGUG
This 497-nucleotide ribosomal RNA is filed under the name uncultured bacterium. Its description in RNAcentral is "partial 16S ribosomal RNA". It matches the Rfam family "Bacterial small subunit ribosomal RNA", at positions 28 to 507 of the family's 1533-position model. The record is from RNAcentral.